This 1202-nucleotide long non-coding RNA is filed under the name Sus scrofa (pig). RNAcentral describes it as "lncRNA (ENSSSCG00060069914.1)". Lineage: Eukaryota; Metazoa; Chordata; Mammalia; Artiodactyla; Suidae. The record is from RNAcentral.
CAAAGAGAAUAGAGUCCAUGUGUGUGGUCUAGCUAGUUCUCACAAAGCCACCCCUGCCAAAGCGAACUAAAGUCAGAGCAAAUGUGUUCUUUUUUAUUUUUAAAAAUUUUUUGUCUUUCUCUCUUUUUAGGGCUGCCCCUGCAGCAUAUGGAGGUUCCCAGACUAGGGGUCCAAUUGGAGCUGGAGCCGCCAGGCUAUACUGGGGCCAUAGCAAUGCAGGAUCUGAGCCGCAUCUGUGACUUAUACCACAGCAACACCGGAUCCUUAACCCACUAAGCGAGGCCAGGGAUCGAACCUGCAUCCUCAUGGAUGCCAGUCAGAUUUGUUAACCGCUGAGUCAUGAUGGGAACCCCCCUUUUUAAAAAUUACUUUGAAAUGUGUUCUUUUAAAGACUCUUUGGAGUUCCCUGGUGGCUCGUCAGGUUAAGGAUCUGGCGUUGUCACUGCUGUGGCGCAGGUUCCAUCCUUGGCAUGCCUGGGAACCUCCACAUGCCAUGGGCACAGCCAAAAAAUAAAAAAAGGUCUUGGCAUUUCCAUUGUGGCUCAGUGGGUUAAGAACCAAGGUAGGAGUUCCUGUUGUGGCUCAGUGGUAAUGAACCCAAAUGGUAUCCAUGAGGACGUGGGUUCCAUCCCUGGCCUUGCUCAGUGGGUUAAGGAUCCGGCAUUGCUGUGAGCUGUGGUGUAGGUCUCAGAUGUGACUUGGAUCUGGUGUUGCUGUGGCUGUGGUGUAGGCCGGCAGCUGCAGCUCUGAUUCGACCCCUAGCCUGGGAACUUCCAUAUGCUGCAGGUGCGGCCAUAAAAAGAAAAAAAGGUUCCUUUGAGGGUGAUGCCUGAUGUGGCCUGCUGUCUGGGGUACAGAUGCCUAGUCCACCCCCAGAGGAAAGAAGAAAACAAGCCUCUUGGUCCCGCUUCGGCCCUGCUCUGUACUGUCCUCACGGGGUUACUUAGCCCUCGGCGAGGAAGCAGACGCCCACCGUACACACAUCUGGGUCUACCCGCCUCCCGUGAAGCAAGCCCUCUGUUCCUGGUCUGAUUUCUGCAGCCUCAGUCAGACCCAGGCCACCUGCUCGGGAAUCUGGAAGACAGAGGAUGGAUAAACAACAAGCAGCUACUGUCGAGCACGGGGAAUCAUAGCCAACAUCCUGUAAUAAUAAGCCUUAAUGGAAAAGAAUAAACAAAGGAAAGUAUGUAUAUACUGAAUCA